This 593-nucleotide ribosomal RNA is filed under the name uncultured fungus. RNAcentral describes it as "eukaryotic LSU rRNA". The stretch from base 235 to 388 matches the Rfam family "5.8S ribosomal RNA". The record is from RNAcentral. Lineage: Eukaryota; Fungi.
UUGGUCAUUUAGAGGAAGUAAAAGUCGUAACAAGGUUUCCGUAGGUGAACCUGCGGAAGGAUCAUUACCGAAGUACAGGCCCUCUCGAGGGCUACACUUCCACCCUUUGUUAACUAUACUUUGUUGCUUUGGCGAGACGCCCUCGGCCACCGGCUCCGGCUGGUGAGUGCUCGCCAGAGAAAACCCAAACCCAAACGUUUUAGUGUCGUCUGAGAACUAAGUUUAAUUAUUUAAAACUUUCAACAACGGAUCUCUUGGCUCUGGCAUCGAUGAAGAACGCAGCGAAAUGCGAUAAGUAAUGUGAAUUGCAGAAUUCAGUGAAUCAUCGAAUCUUUGAACGCACAUUGCGCCCCUUGGUAUUCCGGGGGGCAUGCCUGUUCGAGCGUCAUUAUCACCCCUCAAGCUCAGCUUGGUGUUGGGGCCGGCCCGUCACAGGGCCGCCCUUAAAAGCAGUGGCGGUGCCAUCUGGCUCUACGCGUAGUAAUACUUCUCGCGACAGAGUCCCGGUGGUGUCCUGCCAGAACCCCCCAUCUUUUUAAUGAUUGACCUCGGAUCAGGUAGGGAUACCCGCUGAACUUAAGCAUAUCAAUAAG